CACACAAUGUGUAGUCUUUUGAGUCUGGAUUUACUCACUCAGCAUAACGCAUUUGAGGUUCAUCCAUGUGGUGAGGAAGUGGGACAGCUGGAUGACCAUGACAUUGGACCUCCAGUAGUGCUCGUGAAGCGAUGCAUCUUGGAAAGGAGGAUCUGCCUGCGUUCCUGACAUCACCCUUGGGAUUUCUCCUCUGCUCUCCAGGCCUCUGGCUCUCCCUGCUGGUUCUGUGCUGGGUCACCUGCCACUGCUCAGCCUGCAUGCCCUGCAGAAGUUGGCUGGAGCCAGCUGGUGGUGACUUGCCAGAGACUCUGGUUAAAUAGGAAUUUUGCAAGCUGGUUGUUAAACCAUUGGUAGCUUGAAAUCAGCCUUGGUGGGAGUAUUUAUAACCCAGAAAUUGGCAAAUACUACAAAUCAAGUCUUGCCUCCAGCAGCUUACCAGUAGUCCACAGCUUACCUGCUCCUCUUAGUACCAAUGAAAACACCUACAUCACCUCGUUUUAAUAGCGACAA
Molecule: long non-coding RNA, 510 nt
Filed under: Homo sapiens (human)
Lineage: Eukaryota; Metazoa; Chordata; Mammalia; Primates; Hominidae
Description: non-protein coding lnc-SLC4A3-2:4
Source: RNAcentral